RNAcentral lists this transfer-messenger RNA (130 nucleotides) under Staphylococcus epidermidis. RNAcentral's name for it is "partial transfer-messenger RNA". It matches the Rfam family "transfer-messenger RNA", at positions 236 to 374 of the family's 374-position model. Rfam says of the family: Bacterial tmRNA, also known as 10Sa RNA or SsrA, is named for its dual tRNA and mRNA-like properties. Its role is to liberate the mRNA from a stalled ribosome. To accomplish this part of the tmRNA is used as a reading frame that ends in a translation stop signal. The record is from RNAcentral. Lineage: Bacteria; Bacillati; Bacillota; Bacilli; Caryophanales; Staphylococcaceae.
UAUAAUCAAGCUAGCAUCAUGUUGGUUGUUUAUUGCUUAGCAUGAUGCGAAAAUUAUCAAUAAACUACACACGUAGAAAGAUUUGUAUCAGGACCUCUGGACGCGGGUUCGAAUCCCGCCGUCUCCAUUA